This 253-nucleotide ribosomal RNA is filed under the name uncultured bacterium. RNAcentral's name for it is "partial 16S ribosomal RNA". It matches the Rfam family "Bacterial small subunit ribosomal RNA", at positions 524 to 776 of the family's 1533-position model. The record is from RNAcentral.
UACGUAGGAUGCAAGCGUUGUCCGGAAUUAUUGGGCGUAAAGAGCUUGUAGGCGGUUUGUCGCGUCUGCUGUGAAAUUUCGGGGCUCAACCCCGAACUUGCAGUGGGUACGGGCAGACUAGAGUGUGGUAGGGGAGACUGGAAUUCCUGGUGUAGCGGUGAAAUGCGCAGAUAUCAGGAGGAACACCGAUGGCGAAGGCAGGUCUCUGGGCCAUAACUGACGCUGAGAAGCGAAAGCAUGGGGAGCGAACAGG